This is an RNA transcript of Oreochromis niloticus (Nile tilapia), 3094 nucleotides long. It is a transcript of the gene named serine/threonine-protein kinase pim-1, with no coding region annotated. NCBI's taxonomy places the organism in Eukaryota, Metazoa, Chordata, Actinopteri, Cichliformes, Cichlidae. The transcript is spliced from 13 exons. The record is from RefSeq and is a predicted model, not a curated record.
AAUGUUGUGUUGCCAUAGUCUCCGAAGUUUGCUUUUAAAGCUCACUCACAGUUAGAAAAGUCAAGCAUCCAGACAUUUGAAGGACUAUUUGCACAUUAAGGUGACAUUUUCGAUUUUAAAAGUUCUCCAAAAAUUAAGAUGAAAAAGGAAACAAGAAAAGUUACGACUGAGGCAGAUAAGAAAGAUCCAGGAGAUCAAAAUUGUAAGACCAGAAUGACAAAAAGAAAGGCCAGUCCUGAAAAAAAGACCCCCAUAAAAAGAAGGAGGGUCAGUGAGCAGGCUGGUCCUUCCACCGGCUCAGAUGCUCAUGUGGUCAAAGGAGUCAAGCGCAAGGUCCAACAAGAUGAAGCGGGGACAACCAAUACAGCAAAAAAGUGUAAACUUCUUGACCAUAUGAGCGGUGACAAGGGGCAAGCAUCUUCCUGGUUGGACACUGGUAAAGACUGCAGCAUAGACAUUUCAGAGAGCUGCAGUAAAAACCAAAACGCUGGCAAAAGGAAAGCUGCGGGAGACAGGAGGGACCCACCUAAGAAGAAGAACGUGGACCAGGACGAAACCAAAAAUGUUGCCAAAAAGUCAGUGGCCGAACAGAAACGUGACUUCCAAGCGAGAUACGUGGAGGAGCACCGGCUUGGAGAAGGAGGCUGCGGAGCAGUGUUUGCUGGCUACCGCAUAAAAGAUCAUUUUCCAGUGGCCAUCAAACACAUCCCAAAGGGGAAAGUGUACUGCAAAGUGACGGAUGAAAACGGGAAGCAUCUGUCAGUGGAAGUUGCCAUCAUGCUGAAGCUUGCAGCUGAAGCAGAUGGAUCAGUGGGAGCAUCAGCCCCAGUGUCUCUGCUGGAGUGGUUUGACUUUGGCAGAGAGCUGAUCCUGGUGAUGGAGAGACCCGUCCCCGCUGUGGACCUGGAUAAAUACAUAGAAGAAAAUGGAGGAUUUUUACCAGAGGCCAAGGCCAAGGUCAUUCUGAAGCAGCUGGUUGAUGCUGCCAAGCACCUGGAGGAUAAACACAUCUUUCACCGGGACAUCAAGAGUGAGAACAUUCUAAUUGAGACCGGCUCAGAUGUACCGCGUGUUCGUAUCAUCGACUUUGGACUGAGCUGCUUUGUUAAGGAGCGGUCGCUGUACCGCGUCUUCUAUGGUACAGACAUUUACUCCCCUCCCGAGUGGUACAGGCGCAGUUGCUACAGGUGUGGACCCACCACGGUAUGGCAAAUGGGAGUGGUUCUGUACGAAGCGCUUCAUGUGGGGGACUUUAACACCACGAGCUUCCUCAAAAAGCGCCUGAAAUUCAAAAGCCGUCUGUCUAAACGCUGCCGGGAUUUCUUGGACGCGUGUUUAACCAGAGUCCCAGAGAUGCGGCCGACGUUGGAGGACCUCCAGCAUCACGCUUGGCUGAGAUAAACCCAUCACACACACACACAAACACACGCAAUUCAGACGUUAUCAUGUAUGUGUGAUAUAUGAGGUAACUUUCUUGUUUUCUGUUUGACAGGAAAUAAUUUUUUUAAUUGCCCUAUUUUAAACUUUGGUGUUUUGGAAUUCCUGUAACCCCCCCCCCAGCCAUCCCAGGAAAGGGGAUCUCUCUUUGAAUGGGCUUUCCCGAGGUUUCUUCCCGUCAAUCUGGCCCCCCCAGGGGAGUUUUUCCUCGUCUUCAUAGAGAGCUUGGGCUGGGUCAGGAGCUCCAUCAAAACUGUCUUUAGUUGAUUAUUUUAAGAUUAUGCUGGGAUUUUGGUGAGAUUGGGAUUUUUCCAAACAACUAUGUCCAGGAUCUUGAAGAAGAUAGGAUAGAGCGGCAGAAGAACACAAUGGCUGCCACCACUGGGAGCUAAGGAAACCGAGUUGCAAGGAGGUUGAUGUCCUAUUCUAGUGCAACUGACCAGUAAGAAGAAGGACGCGCUUUCAUGUAGUUAUGUGAUGAAACAAAAACAACGGUGUCUAAAGAGGAGGCUAGAAAAGACACAUAUUUCCAGAAACUGUAACAGACCAGCAAAGGAAUCAACCGGAGGAUGAGCAGCACCUAAUCUAUCAGACCGAGACGAGAUUCACUACUUUUGCUGACAAAAAAAUCCAUAACAUCCAGCAUCCAUAUGAUUGAAAUUAGACUUGCCAUGUCAGGCAGAGGAUGCUUAUCAAGAAAGGUAACCUGAGUUUACAUACAGAUGUGUUGCAUCACUGUUUGUGAAUGAGAACUAUUGUAUUUAUGGCACCAUGUUUAACCAGAGGAAGCAGAUUCCGAACCCCUUAAAACUCAUUGUUGACUACCUGUUUCUACAACCUAACAAUAUCAGCAAUAGGUCUGUUACCUCUAGAUAAAAGAUCUGAGUUACUACAUAUUUAAAAGGAAAUGGAAAAAUGUCAUCCAGUCAGAAUACAGUCAGUGCAGCGAUCUAGACAAAACUGGACAGCACACAGCAAAAGCUUUCCAUUUGAAAAAUCACAAUAUAAUAUUGAGUAUGGCAAUUCUCAUUUGACAUGAAGGAAAAAAGCAAUAACUUGGCCUCCACCACUACCACCACCUACUAAAGUCUGAGUAUCGGAUCCAUCAUUUCAGAUCUCCCGUCGUAAAAUGGCAUCGUUAAAAUAGUGGCUAUCACACAGAAAGCGUCGUGCAGCUUAUCCUCCUUUGAUUUUUCAUUCAUAAUAACAUUUUGACACCCCCACACUGCAAACCGAUUAGUGCAGUACAAUAGCAGCUGCCGAAGUGUUCAAAUCAAUGAUUCCAGACACACAGUGUGGAAACAAAUCAAUUAUUGUUUAAACACAAGGCUCUGAUGUCCACUAAUCAAUAGAUGAGAUGUGUUAAAUUGAAGAUGCUCUGUGCAAUUCUGAGGGUUUUUUUUUCCCCUUUUCUUAUUUUGGAUUGCAAAAAUAACACAGACCUAGUAACAAUCACCGAUGCUAAUAGACUGCUGUCAUUAAAUAAUAAAUUGUGAACUUCAGAAAUCAAAAUUAUUUACUGAAAGGGAAAAUCGUGCAGUGCUGUUGCUGGUAAAUGUACACAUUUCACAGUACCCCGUUUCUCUUCUUGUGUCUGUGCAGUCGUUAUUGUUUUCACUUCACUGAAUAAACUAUUAUAAUUGUUAUUUUUCCAAGA